GCCACGGUGGCACAAUCUGGUACUGCGCAAUCUUUACUAAAGCUUGUUUCCGAAAGGAUAUCCCGGUUCAAAUCCGGGCCGUGGCG
Molecule: transfer RNA, 86 nt
Filed under: Candidatus Woesearchaeota archaeon
Lineage: Archaea; Nanobdellati; Candidatus Woesearchaeota
Description: tRNA-Ser
Source: RNAcentral